GACGAACGCUGGCGGCGUGCUUAACACAUGCAAGUCGAACGAAGAGCGAUGGAAGCUUGCUUCUAUCAAUCUUAGUGGCGAACGGGUGAGUAACGCGUAAUCAACCUGCCCUUCAGAGGGGGACAACAGUUGGAAACGACUGCUAAUACCGCAUACGAUCUAAUCUCGGCAUCGAGGAUAGAUGAAAGGUGGCCUCUACAUGUAAGCUAUCACUGAAGGAGGGGAUUGCGUCUGAUUAGCUAGUUGGAGGGGUAACGGCCCACCAAGGCGAUGAUCAGUAGCCGGUCUGAGAGGAUGAACGGCCACAUUGGGACUGAGACACGGCCCAGACUCCUACGGGAGGCAGCAGUGGGGAAUCUUCCGCAAUGGACGAAAGUCUGACGGAGCAACGCCGCGUGAGUGAUGACGGCCUUCGGGUUGUAAAGCUCUGUUAAUCGGGACGAAAGGCCUUCUUGCGAAUAGUGAGAAGGAUUGACGGUACCGGAAUAGAAAGCCAGGGCUAACUACGUG
Molecule: ribosomal RNA, 510 nt
Filed under: uncultured bacterium
Lineage: Bacteria
Description: partial 16S ribosomal RNA
Rfam family: Bacterial small subunit ribosomal RNA
Source: RNAcentral